UGCGGUGUAGUGGAGUUCGGUACCAUGCGAGGCUCAUAACCUCUGCGACACGGGUUCAAAUCCCGUCGCCGCGA
Molecule: transfer RNA, 74 nt
Filed under: Mycobacterium phage Wildcat
Lineage: Duplodnaviria; Heunggongvirae; Uroviricota; Caudoviricetes; Vilmaviridae
Rfam family: tRNA
About the family: Transfer RNA (tRNA) molecules are approximately 80 nucleotides in length. Their secondary structure includes four short double-helical elements and three loops (D, anti-codon, and T loops).
Source: Rfam by way of RNAcentral